GGGUGCCAUAGCCAUCUCCUUGAAGUCUGUAGGUAGAAGUGAGUAUGCAAAAUCUUCUGUCAACGAGGAAGGAAGAUGCUUGUUACGUGUUGAUGUAUUCCAAGUUGUGCCUUGGUAUGUCAAGGUUUAUUACCAUACACUUAAAGUGUUUCUAGAUGAACGUCUUCACAGUUUAGCAGAUGUUGUAGAAAGGACAAACGUUUCGCCUUCUGAAGACAAGGUUUCCCCUGGGCUAAUGGAAAUAGCAUUGCGGUUGCCAUGUGAUGUGCACUCGGUGAUAUUGACAUUGGAGUUUGAUAAGGGUUUUCUGCACAUCGAUGAGUAUCCUCCAGAUGCUAACCAGGGAUUUGACAUUCCAUCAGCUUUAAUCAGGUUUCCUGGGAUCAAAACAAAGAUGGAUUUAUUUGAGGAUAAAUCUGCUUGCAAGUCACCUAUCUUAUCCAAGCUACAGGAAGAAAGCCCUGUUCUAUGGUACACAGAAGUACUGCUUGUACCCUUGACCACUCCUGAUUUUAGCAUGCCAUA
Molecule: unclassified non-coding RNA, 525 nt
Filed under: Hevea brasiliensis (rubber tree)
Lineage: Eukaryota; Viridiplantae; Streptophyta; Magnoliopsida; Malpighiales; Euphorbiaceae
Source: RNAcentral